UGGGGAAUAUUGCACAAUGGAGGGAACUCUGAUGCAGCAACGCCGCGUGCGGGAUGACGGCCUUCGGGUUGUAAACCGCUUUCAGCCAUGACGAAGCUUUUGUGACGGUAGUGGUAGAAGAAGCACCGGCUAACUACGUGCCAGCAGCCGCGGUGAUACGUAGGGUGCGAGCGUUGUCCGGAAUUAUUGGGCGUAAAGAGCUUGAAGGCGGUUUGUCGCGUCGAUAGUGUAAACACGCAGCUUAACUGUGUGCCUGCUGUCGAUACGGGCUGACUAGAGGAGGGUAGGGGAGAAUGGAAUUCCCGGUGGAGCGGUGGAAUGCGCAGAUAUCGGGAGGAACACCAGUGGCGAAGGCGGUUCUCUGGACCUUUCCUGACGCUGAGAAGCGAAAGCGUGGGUAGCAAACAGG
Molecule: ribosomal RNA, 409 nt
Filed under: Fusobacteriota bacterium
Lineage: Bacteria; Fusobacteriati; Fusobacteriota
Description: Fusobacteria bacterium partial 16S ribosomal RNA
Rfam family: Bacterial small subunit ribosomal RNA
Source: RNAcentral